AACGCACAUUGCGCCCGCUAGUAUUCUGGCGGGCAUGCCUGUUCGAGCGUCAUUUCAACCCUCAGGCCCGUCCUGGUGUUGGGAGACUCAUGGCGCGCAAGCGCCGAUGAGCCCCCGAAAGCUAGUUCUGAGCCGACGAGACUAUGCGGUAGUUAUGUAACAGUUACUACGGCGUCUCGGCGGCUUUCAAUACCCAAGGUUGACCUCGGAUCAGGUAGGAAUACCCGCUGAACUUAA
This 237-nucleotide unclassified non-coding RNA is filed under the name uncultured fungus. RNAcentral's name for it is "sequence contains ITS2". Lineage: Eukaryota; Fungi. The record is from RNAcentral.